This 864-nucleotide ribosomal RNA is filed under the name uncultured Chloroflexota bacterium. RNAcentral describes it as "bacterial SSU rRNA". It matches the Rfam family "Bacterial small subunit ribosomal RNA", at positions 39 to 916 of the family's 1533-position model. The record is from RNAcentral. Lineage: Bacteria; Bacillati; Chloroflexota.
GCACGUGCGGGUCUAUACAUGCAGUCGACGGAGACGUUAUAGCAAUAUAGUGUCUUAGUGGCGAACGGGUGAGUAACGCGUUGGUGACCUGCCCCGAAGAGGGGGAUAACAGCUCGAAAGAACUGCUAAUACCCCAUGUGGUCGUGAAGAUUAGAGGCUUUGCGACUAAAGGAGUAAUCCGCUUCGGGAGGGGCCUGCGUCCCAUCAGCUAGUUGGUAGGGUAAUGGCCUACCAAGGCGACGACGGGUAGGGGACCUGAGAGGGUGACCCCCCACACUGGCACUGAAACACGGGCCAGACACCUACGGGUGGCAGCAGUAGGGAAUAUUGCACAAUGGGCGAAAGCCUGAUGCAGCAACGCCGCGUGCGCGAUGAAGGCCUUCGGGUCGUAAAGCGCUUUUUGGGGAGAUGAGGAAGGACAGUAUCCCCAGAAUAAGGUUCGGCUAACUACGUGCCAGCAGCCGCGGUAAAACGUAGGAACCGAGCGUUAUCCGAAUUUACUGGGCGUAAAGCGCGUGUAGGCGGUUCGGUAAGUUGGAUGUGAAAUCUCCCGGCUCAACUGGGAGAGGUCGUUCAAUACUGUCGGACUGGAGGGUGGUAGAGGGAGGUGGAAUUCCCGGUGUAGUGGUGAAAUGCGUAGAUAUCGGGAGGAACACCAGUGGCGAAAGCGGCCUCCUGGACCAUACCUGACGCUCAGACGCGAAAGCUAGGGGAGCGAACGGGAUUAGAAACCCCGGUAGUCCUAGCUGUAAACGAUGUCGACUUGGCGUUGGUGGGGUAAAAGCCAUCAGUGCCGUAGCUAACGCGAUAAGUCGACCGCCUGGGGACUACGGCCGCAAGGUUAAAACUCAAAGGAAUUGACGG